Molecule: long non-coding RNA, 1130 nt
Organism: Aedes albopictus (Asian tiger mosquito)
Lineage: Eukaryota; Metazoa; Arthropoda; Insecta; Diptera; Culicidae
Exons: 3
Source: RefSeq, a predicted model, not a curated record
CGCUUAGUCACUUUUUUGAAUUGGACAUAGUUUUUCAAGAUUUUAUGUGUAAAUUAAAAGUAAUUAUUUUCAUUGAAUAUUUAAAAAAAAGGUUAACAUCGUUGAAUUUGAAAUGCACGGCUAAAUUAGGAUAAAAGCUCUUCUUUGUACUAAAAUAUUUAAGUCACUUUAUUAUACAACUUUCUAUAAAAGCUCAUUAAAUUAGGAUAAAAGCUCUUCUUUGUACUAAAACAUUUAAGUCACUUUAUUAUACAACUUUCUAUAAAAGCUCAUUGAAAUAGGAUAAAAGCUUUUAAAGUUAUUUGUACUAAAAAGUUAAGGUGAAACAUAGAUGGCCCAAAGGAGUCGAAAAUAUGAACUGUGGUUGACUCGUCUAAAUUUUUAGUUUUGUAUUAGUAAAUGUCAAAUUACAUGAUCAGUAAAAUUUUACGUUCGAUCAAGUUUCGUAGAAUAGAUUCAGCCAUUACCAAAUCUGAUCGGCAAGUGAGCAGACAGUUAGUUUCGGUGAUAGUGCUUUCAAUUUUUUCAAUCUAAGUUAUUAAAAAUAGUUCCGGAUUUAUUUUAUCACUGGGAACGGAAACUCUGCUCAUCUGUGCAGUUCUAAAUCUGUACAAAAGCGUCCAACGGACGCUUUUUUGUACGGGCUUCAAGCCCGCAGCUACACACUCCGCCAUUUUGAACAUCCACACGACCACGUGGGACAUUUCCGAGGACGCUCGCUCAUCCAGGCCCGCCACAGAGCUGGCAGUCAAACGGGUGGAGAGGAUUGUCUGGCCUGCCCGCAUUCUGAGAGGAGUGAUCGGGUAGCGUACUUGGACCUGCCGAAACCCUUCCCCGCACCUUUAUUCCGGCCAUCAGUGAUUCGAGCUUCUUUUCCGAGCCGUCCCUCGAAGGAACGGGAUCCCGCCGGCCCCGGCGGCAAACCCUUGCUCCGCCGCUGCGCUCGCCAAGAACAUCGCACUCCGUCCGUGCACCCCUCGUCAGCUGACAGCAUAAGUUAAACCCUGCGCAGGUAUGUCCUCAUAAUCAUGGCCAUGAACACACUACACAACACACACUCACACACUCUCACACUGGAUGCUUAAAACGAAAAAAUGAAUUAAUACAUAAAAAUGAAUUCAAACUCAACA